This 776-nucleotide ribosomal RNA is filed under the name uncultured Neocallimastigales. RNAcentral describes it as "partial large subunit ribosomal RNA". It matches the Rfam family "Eukaryotic large subunit ribosomal RNA", at positions 26 to 635 of the family's 3401-position model. The record is from RNAcentral. Lineage: Eukaryota; Fungi; Neocallimastigomycota; Neocallimastigomycetes; Neocallimastigales.
CGCAUCUGUGCAUGCAGCAUAUCAAUAAGCGGAGGAAAAGAAACUAACAAGGAUUCCCUUAGUAACGGCGAGUGAAGCGGGAAGAGCUCAAAUUUGAAAUCUUCAAGGUUUUACCUUGACGAAUUGUAGUUUAAAGAAGUGUUUUCUGUUGAAGUUUUGGUAAAAGUUCUUUGGAAUAGGACAUCAUAGAGGGUGAGAAUCCCGUAUUUGACCAUUAUUUUCAGCUGUGUGAUACACUUUCAAAGAGUCGGAUUGUUUGGGAAUGCAGUCCAAAAUGGGUGGUAAAUUUCACCUAAAGCUAAAUAUUGGCGAGAGACCGAUAGCGAACAAGUACCGUGAGGGAAAGAUGAAAAGAACUUUGAAAAGAGAGUUAAACAGUACGUGAAAUUGUCAAAAGGGAAGCGUUUGACACCAGUGUUGUUUUCUCGAAAAUCAAUUAAAAAGAGUUAGAUUUUGUUGUGUAUUGACCUUAACAGCUUGUCAUUUCAAUUUUCUUGCUUUUUUUAAUGCACUUUUCGUUUAACAAGUCAACAUCAGUUUCUUUUGUUGUAAAAAGGUCAUUGGAAGGUGGCUUUCUUUUCGGAGAAAGUGUUUAUAGCCUUUGACUCCUGCAAUCGGAGAGACUGAGGUCUGCAGCGUAGAUCCUUCGGGGUUAGAUACAUUUGUAGCUAAGUUAUAGCUUUUUAUAGACAACUUGUUGACUAUGAUUAGUCUUGUAGCUUACUCGCUUAUGCUAUUUUACCUACGCUUAGGAUGUUGAUCUGUAGUGCGUGCGC